RNAcentral lists this non-coding RNA (24 nucleotides) under Arabidopsis thaliana (thale cress). The record is from RNAcentral. Lineage: Eukaryota; Viridiplantae; Streptophyta; Magnoliopsida; Brassicales; Brassicaceae.
UAAGAGUUUGAAGUAUAUCUUCAA